CCUACGGGUGGCAGCAGUGAGGAAUAUUGGUCAAUGGACGCGAGUCUGAACCAGCCAAGUAGCGUGAAGGAUGACUGCCUUAUGGGCUGUAAACUUCUUUUCUAUGGGAAUAAAAUGUUCCCCGUGAGGGAUUUCGUAUGGACCAUAUGAAUAAGGAUCGGCUAACUCCGUUCCAGCAGCCGCGGUAAUACGGAGGAUCCGAGCGUUAUCCGGUUUUAUUGGGUUUAAAGGGAGCGUAGGUGGAUUGUUAAGUCAGUUGUGAAAGUUUGCGGCUCAACCGUAAAAUUGCAGUUGAAACUGGCAGUCUUGAGGACAGUAGAGGUGGGCGGAAUUCGUGGUGUAGCGGUGAAAUGCUUAGAUAUCACGAAGAACUCCGAUUGCGAAGGCAGCUCACUGGACUGCAACUGACACUGAGGCUCGAAAGUGUGGGUAUCAAACAGGAUUAGAUACCCUUGUAGUC
This 460-nucleotide ribosomal RNA is filed under the name uncultured bacterium. RNAcentral describes it as "partial 16S ribosomal RNA". It matches the Rfam family "Bacterial small subunit ribosomal RNA", at positions 338 to 795 of the family's 1533-position model. The record is from RNAcentral.